CUUGGGCAAGGAACUGAGGAAGGAGCAGGAAGGGAGAUGGAUACCAAGCCAGGAAAGGAGUAGAGGCCACACCUGAGAGGGUCCCAUCAUACUUGGCUUGUUGCAUGGUUGCUGGGGAUCAAACUCAGAUCUUCAUGCUUAUUCAGCAAGAAUGCUGCUGCCUGAGAUGUCUCCUCAGCCCUUCCUGAGAAUGCUGCUGCCUGAGAUGUCUCCUCAGCCCUUCCUGAGAAUGCUGCUGCCUGAGAUGUCUCCUCAGCCCUUCCUGUCCAUAUUUUGAUCUCAAGACCUCUGUCCUCCAGAAUCAAGAGACAAUGAUUGCUGUUGUUGAACGUACUCAGUCUUCAAGGCUUCCUGACUGACCAGUACAAAUGCCACAGUGCUCAGUGUGGUGACACAUGGCUUUAAUUCCAGUACUCAGAAGGCUAAGAUAAGACACCUGAGUUGAGAGCUGGCCUAAGCUACAAAAAAGGAACGGAACCAGAAAAGGGGAUAACAUUUGAAAUGUGAAUAAAGUAUCUAAUUAAAAAAAAAAAAAAAAAAAGAAAAAGAAAAAGAAAAUGGCACUAAAAAAAAAAUCAUUACUUAUUCAUGCAAUACCUGUGGAGGCCAGAAGAGGGCAUCAAAUCCCCUGGAACCACAGUUCCAGGUGGUUUGAAUGACAUGAUGUUGGUGUUAGGCACCAAUUCUCUGUAUGAAUAAUAAGUGACCUUAACCUCUGAGCUAUUUAUCCAGCCCCUAUUGGUUAAUUUUUGUUUAUCGAGACAAGGUCUUGCUUUGUAGCCUUGGCUGGCCUGGAACCCACUUUGUAGGACAGUCUGGCCUCAAACCCAUCUGCUUGCCUCUUGUCUAUGCUUCCUGAGUGCCUCACCAUACCUGGCUCCAGACUCUAUUAAAAAAUGUCUUAGCACUUCA
Mus musculus (house mouse) is the source of this 912-nucleotide long non-coding RNA. RefSeq lists it as uncharacterized. The transcript is spliced from 2 exons. The record is from RefSeq and is a predicted model, not a curated record. Lineage: Eukaryota; Metazoa; Chordata; Mammalia; Rodentia; Muridae.